Molecule: ribosomal RNA, 411 nt
Filed under: uncultured bacterium
Lineage: Bacteria
Description: bacterial SSU rRNA
Rfam family: Bacterial small subunit ribosomal RNA
Source: RNAcentral
UAUUGGUCAAUGGGCUUACGCCUGAACCAGCCAAGUCGCGUGAGGGAAGACUGCCCUAUGGGUUGUAAACCUCUUUUGCCGGGGAGCAGGGCGGCGGACGUGUCCACCGGUUGCGAGUACCCGGAGAAAAAGCAUCGGCUGACUCCGUGCCAGCAGCCGCGGUAAUACGGAGGAUGCGAGCGUUAUCCGGAUUUAUUGGGUUUAAAGGGUGCGUAGGCGGGCUUUUAAGUCAGCGGUAAAAAUUCGGGGCUCAACCCCGUCCGGCCGUUGAAACUGGGGGCCUUGAGUGGGCGAGAAGAAGGCGGAAUGCGUGGUGUAGCGGUGAAAUGCAUAGAUAUCACGCAGAACCCCGAUUGCGAAGGCAGCCUUCCGGCGCCCUACUGACGCUGAGGCACGAAAGUGCGGGGAGCA